AAGGCUGUAUAAGAUAUCAACAACUUCGAAUGAAUCUAACUGGAGUAGCUGUUGUUGCGGGUCACCGUCGCUGUUGCUUGCGGCAGCGGUGGAGUAGUUGAUUAAGGGGCAAAGUGAAGAUGAGAAGGAUUUGGAAUUGAAGAGAACAACUCCAAUGGUGAUGGGUUUAGGGGUCAGGAGUUUUCUAUUAAAAUUAACGACUGACCUGGAAGACGAAACCCA
This 222-nucleotide unclassified non-coding RNA is filed under the name Hevea brasiliensis (rubber tree). The record is from RNAcentral. Lineage: Eukaryota; Viridiplantae; Streptophyta; Magnoliopsida; Malpighiales; Euphorbiaceae.